Molecule: ribosomal RNA, 536 nt
Filed under: Athyreocis sp. ARC4816
Lineage: Eukaryota; Metazoa; Arthropoda; Insecta; Coleoptera; Curculionidae
Description: partial 16S large subunit ribosomal RNA
Rfam family: Bacterial large subunit ribosomal RNA
Source: RNAcentral
GUCUUAUUGAUAUUAAUUUUAAGUCUGACCUGCCCAAUGAUAGCAAUAUUUAAUGGCCGCGGUAUUUUGACCGUGCAAAGGUAGCAUAAUCACUAGUUUUUUAAUUGAAAGCUUGUAUGAAAGGUCUGAUGAGGGAAUAGCUGUCUCUAUUUAAAGUUUUGAAAUUUAUUUUUAAGUAAAAAAGCUUAAAUAAUUAUAGAAGACGAGAAGACCCUAUAGAGUUUUAUAUUAAUAUAAAUAAGUAAAAUUUUAGAAUUAUUCUAUGUAUUUAUAAAAUUAUUUUGUUGGGGUGAUGGAAAAAUUAAUUAAACUUUUUUUGUAGUAAAUCACUGAUUGGUGAGUAGUUGAUCCUUUGUUUAAGAUUAAAAGAUGAAAUUACCUUAGGGAUAACAGCGUAAUUUUUUUUAGAGUUCUUAUCGAAAAAAAAGAUUGCGACCUCGAUGUUGGAUUAAAAGGAAUUAUUGGUGUAGAAGCUAAUAAAUUAGGUCUGUUCGACCUUUAAAAUUUUACAUGAUCUGAGUUUAAACCGGCGUAAG